This 548-nucleotide ribosomal RNA is filed under the name uncultured bacterium. Its description in RNAcentral is "bacterial SSU rRNA". It matches the Rfam family "Bacterial small subunit ribosomal RNA", at positions 355 to 896 of the family's 1533-position model. The record is from RNAcentral.
UAGGGAAUCUUCCGCAAUGGGCGAAAGCCUGACGGAGCAACGCCGCGUGAGUGAAGAAGGAUUUCGGUUCGUAAAGCUCUGUUGUUAGGGAAGAAUGGAUAUGUAGUAACUAUACAUAUAAGAGACGGUACCUAACCAGAAAGCCACGGCUAACUACGUGCCAGCAGCCGCGGUAAUACGUAGGUGGCAAGCGUUGUCCGGAAUUAUUGGGCGUAAAGCGCGCGCAGGUGGUUUAAUAAGUCUGAUGUGAAAGCCCACGGCUCAACCGUGGAGGGUCAUUGGAAACUGUUAAACUUGAGUGCAGGAGAGAAAAGUGGAAUUCCUAGUGUAGCGGUGAAAUGCGUAGAGAUUAGGAGGAACACCAGUGGCGAAGGCGGCUUUUUGGCCUGUAACUGACACUGAGGCGCGAAAGCGUGGGGAGCAAACAGGAUUAGAUACCCUGGUAGUCCACGCCGUAAACGAUGAGUGCUAAGUGUUGGUCUCAUAAGAGAUCAGUGCUGCAGCUAACGCAUUAAGCACUCCGCCUGGGGAGUACGACCGCAAGGUUG